UAUAAGGUUUGGUCCUGGCCUCAGUAUUAAUUGCAACAAAAAUUAUACAUGCAAGUUUCAGCAUCCCUGUGAGAAUGCCCUAAUUAAUCUAUUAAUUAAUUAGGAGCAGGUAUCAGGCACACACACGUAGCCCAAGACACCUUGCUAAGCCACACCCCCAAGGGAUUUCAGCAGUAAUAGAAUAUUGAUUUAAUAAGCGCAAGCUUGAAUCAGUUAAAGUUAACAGAGUUGGUAAAUCUCGUGCCAGCCACCGCGGUUAUACGAGUAACUCACAUUAAUACUUUCCCGGCGUAAAGAGUGAUUUAAGGAAUAUCUAUUAAUAACUAAAGUUAAGACCUCAUCAAGCUGUUACACGCACUCACGAGUGGAAUUAUCAACAACGAAAGUGACUUUACAUAUUAAGGAGCCUUGACGUCACGAUAGUUAGACCCCAAACUAGGAUUAGAUACCCUACUAUGCCCAACCAUAAACUUAGACAAUACUUCACCAUAUUGUUCGCCAGAGUACUACAAGCGCUAGCUUAAAACCCAAAGGACUUGGCGGUAUCCCACACCCACCUAGAGGAGCCUGUUCUAUGACCGAUAAUCCCCGUUCAACCUCACCACUUCUUGCCAUUACCGUCUAUAUACCGCCGUCGUCAGCUCACCCUGUGAAGGUUAAAAAGUAGGCAAAAAGAAUCCAACUCCCAUACGUCAGGUCGAGGUGUAGCAAAUGAAGUGGAUAGAAAUGGGCUACAUUUUUUAUAAAGAAAACACGAAUGGUAGACUGAAAAAUUACCUAAAGGUGGAUUUAGCAGUAAGAAAAGAUUAGAGAAUUUCUCUGAAACCGGCUCUGGGACGCGCACACACCGCCCGUCACUCUCCUCAAAAAACCCUACUUAUUUUUAAUUAAAAGAAAAUUACUAAGAGGAGGCAAGUCGUAACAUGGUAAGUGUACUGGAAAGUGCACCUGGAAUC
This 956-nucleotide non-coding RNA is filed under the name Alopias superciliosus (bigeye thresher). Its description in RNAcentral is "12S ribosomal RNA". It matches the Rfam family "Bacterial small subunit ribosomal RNA". Lineage: Eukaryota; Metazoa; Chordata; Chondrichthyes; Lamniformes; Alopiidae. The record is from RNAcentral.